This 241-nucleotide unclassified non-coding RNA is filed under the name Hevea brasiliensis (rubber tree). The record is from RNAcentral. Lineage: Eukaryota; Viridiplantae; Streptophyta; Magnoliopsida; Malpighiales; Euphorbiaceae.
AACGAAUAGUCUUCCAAACUUGAAGGUUGUUGAUAUUGGAUCCAAAUCUGGACUUACCUCCUCCCUUUAUAAGGGUAGAAUCUAGUUAGCAGUAUGCAUUUGAAGAAUAGAACAACUCCGCACCAGACAGAUCCAUCUAUCAGUGCUUCUAAUCCAUUGAUAUAUGCAGCAGAAUCUUCAUCCAUUAGUCCCUCUUCCAGCAGUAUGGAUCACUUGUAUCCUUCAAAUAGGACAUCCUAGU